This 468-nucleotide ribosomal RNA is filed under the name uncultured bacterium. RNAcentral's name for it is "partial 16S ribosomal RNA". It matches the Rfam family "Bacterial small subunit ribosomal RNA", at positions 28 to 507 of the family's 1533-position model. The record is from RNAcentral.
GACGAACGCUGGCGGCGUGCUUAACACAUGCAAGUCGAACGGAAAGGCCCUGCUUUUGUGGGGUGCUCGAGUGGCGAACGGGUGAGUAACACGUGAGUAACCUGCUCUUGACUUUGGGAUAACUUCAGGAAACUGGGGCUAAUACCGGAUAGGAGCUCCUGCUGCAUGGUGGGGGUUGGAAAGUUUCGGCGGUUGGGGAUGGACUCGCGGGUUAUCAGCUUGUUGGUGGGGUAGUGGCUUACCAAGGCUUUGACGGGUAGCCGGCCUGGGAGGGUGACCGGCGACAUUGCGCCUGCGAGACGCACCAGACCCGUACGGUAGGCAGCAGUGGGGAAUAUUGCACAAUGGGCGGAAGCCUGAUGCAGAAACGCCGCGUUCGUGAUGACGGCCUGUGGGUUGUAAACCGCUUCCGCCUGUGACGAAGCGUGAGUGACGGUAAUGGGUAAAUAAGCACCGGCUAACUACGUG